UACACCGCCACCAAGUAUGCUGUAACUGCUCUGACCGAAGCCCUGAGGCAGGAGAAAAAACUCACAUCAGAGCCACAAGCAUUUCUCCUGGUUUAGUGGAGACAGAAUUCGCUUCACGGCUCCACAGUGACAAUCCUGAUAAAGCAGCUGGUAUAUAUGCUGCAUACAGGCCUCUGGAACCCAAAGACAUCGUCAGCGCUGUCACGUACGCGCUCAGUGCCCCUCCUCAUGUUCAGAUUCGAGACAUUCAGUUUGAAGCUGUGUAGCAGGUGUCAAUAAAGUUUGUUACCCUGGCAACUCCAGUACAGAGAUUUGAUCAUCACUGUUUCUUGAUUCUUUUUGGCAAGUUGCAUCCUGUGACUCUCUCAUAUAAUGUACUCGCAAAUUCUACUUCUUUACUA
Molecule: long non-coding RNA, 401 nt
Organism: Archocentrus centrarchus (flier cichlid)
Lineage: Eukaryota; Metazoa; Chordata; Actinopteri; Cichliformes; Cichlidae
Exons: 4
Source: RefSeq, a predicted model, not a curated record